AUUGAACGCUGGCGGCAUGCCUUACACAUGCAAGUCGAACGGCAGCACGGGAGCAAUCCUGGUGGCGAGUGGCGAACGGGUGAGUAAUAUAUCGGAACGUGCCCAGUCGUGGGGGAUAACGUAGCGAAAGCUACGCUAAUACCGCAUACGAUCUAUGGAUGAAAGCGGGGGAUCGCAAGACCUCGCGCGAUUGGAGCGGCCGAUAUCAGAUUAGGUAGUUGGUGGGGUAAAAGCCUACCAAGCCUUCGAUCUGUAGCUGGUCUGAGAGGACGACCAGCCACACUGGAACUGAGACACGGUCCAGACUCCUACGGGAGGCAGCAGUGGGGAAUUUUGGAUAAUGGGCGCAAGCCUGAUCCAGCAAUGCCGCGUGCAGGAUGAAGGCCUUC
This 389-nucleotide ribosomal RNA is filed under the name uncultured bacterium. RNAcentral describes it as "bacterial SSU rRNA". It matches the Rfam family "Bacterial small subunit ribosomal RNA", at positions 30 to 419 of the family's 1533-position model. The record is from RNAcentral.